GUUUGAUCCUGGCUCAGAGCGAACGUUAGCGGCGGGCUUAACACAUGCAAGUCGAGCGAGAAAGGGGCUUCGGCCCUGAGUACAGCGGCGGACGGGUGAAUAACACGUAGGUAACCUUCCUUUCAGCGGGGGACAACGGUCCGAAAGGACCGCUAAUACCGCAUACGUUCCCUGGGACCUCGGUCCUGGGGAGGAAAGGCCCGCAAGGGCCACUGGAUGAGGGGCCUGCGUAGCAUCAGCUAGUUGGUGGGGUAAUGGCCUACCAAGGCGAAGACGCUUAGCUGGUCUGAGAGGAUGAUCAGCCACACUGGGACUGAGACACGGCCCAGACUCCUACGGGAGGCAGCAGUGGGGAAUAUUGGACAAUGGGCGCAAGCCUGAUCCAGCCACGCCGCGUGAGUGAUGAAGGCCUCGGUCGUAAGAC
This 424-nucleotide ribosomal RNA is filed under the name uncultured bacterium. RNAcentral's name for it is "bacterial SSU rRNA". It matches the Rfam family "Bacterial small subunit ribosomal RNA", at positions 11 to 431 of the family's 1533-position model. The record is from RNAcentral.